Molecule: unclassified non-coding RNA, 335 nt
Filed under: soil metagenome
Description: partial contains 5.8S ribosomal RNA, internal transcribed spacer 2, and large subunit ribosomal RNA
Rfam family: 5.8S ribosomal RNA (bases 1-120)
Source: RNAcentral
GAUGAAGAACGCAGCGAAAUGCGAUAAGUAAUGUGAAUUGCAGAAUUCAGUGAAUCAUCGAAUCUUUGAACGCACAUUGCGCCCACCAGUAUUCUGGCGGGCACGCCUGUUCGAGCGUCAUUUCAACCAUCAAGCCCCCGGCUUGUGUUGGGGAUCUGCGGCUGCCGCUGGCCCUGAAAACCAGUGGCGGGCUCGCUAGUCACUCCGAGCGUAGUAAUACAUCUCGCUCAGGGCGUGCUGCGGGUUCCGGCCGUUAAAAAGCCUUAUUUACCCAAGGUUGACCUCGGAUCAGGUAGGAAGACCCGCUGAACUUAAGCAUAUCAAUAAGCGGAGGA